AAAGUCGUAACAAGGUUUCCGUAGGUGAACCUGCGGAAGGAUCAUUAUCGUAGGGGGCUCUGCCCCCGAAAAAGGAUGUAGGCCAGCCAGAAUUGCAGAUUUCAACUUAAUCGUCUUCUGAGGGCGCUUCUCCUGCCAGACCCGGCGGGCGUGGAACCCCAGGUGACUUCCAGAUGAAGCUACAUGAAUGGCUGGUAUACUCUGGCUCUGUAACCCUUGUAUAUGAGUACUACUGUUUCCUCGGCAGGCUUGCUUGCCAAUGGGGACCCCAUCAAACCUUUUUAUGUUGUCGUAACCGUAACCAAACAAAUAAUCAAAACUUUCAACAACGGAUCUCUUGGUUCUG
Molecule: unclassified non-coding RNA, 346 nt
Filed under: Ascomycota sp.
Lineage: Eukaryota; Fungi; Ascomycota
Description: partial contains small subunit ribosomal RNA, internal transcribed spacer 1, and 5.8S ribosomal RNA
Rfam family: Eukaryotic small subunit ribosomal RNA (bases 1-47)
Source: RNAcentral